RNAcentral lists this ribosomal RNA (497 nucleotides) under uncultured bacterium. RNAcentral describes it as "partial 16S ribosomal RNA". It matches the Rfam family "Bacterial small subunit ribosomal RNA", at positions 28 to 507 of the family's 1533-position model. The record is from RNAcentral.
GACGAACGCUGGCGGCGUGCCUAAUACAUGCAAGUAGAACGCUGAAGAGAGGAGCUUGCUCUUCUUGGAUGAGUUGCGAACGGGUGAGUAACGCGUAGGUAACCUGCCUUGUAGCGGGGGAUAACUAUUGGAAACGAUAGCUAAUACCGCAUAACAAUGGAUGACACCUGUCAUUUAUUUGAAAGGGGCAAUUGCUCCACUACCAGAUGGACCUGCGUUGUAUUAGCUAGUAGGUGAGGAAAUGGCUCACCUAGGCGACGAUACAUAGCCGACCUGAGAGGGUGAUCGGCCACACCGGGACUGAGACACGGCCCAGACUCCUACGGGAGGCAGCAGUAGGGAAUCUUCGGCAAUGGGGGCAACCCUGACCGAGCAACGCCGCGUGAGUGAAGAAGGGUGUCGGAUCGUAAAGUUCUGUUGUAAGUCAAGAACGGGUGUGAGAGUGGAAAGUUCACAAUGUGACGGUAGCUUACCAGAAAGAGACGGCUAACUACGUG